GAAAAUCUAAUUUAUUUAAAAAAUAUGAAGUUGUCGUCUUCAAAAAGCUAUCCUAGCGAUUUUCU
RNAcentral lists this transfer RNA (65 nucleotides) under Marphysa tamurai. RNAcentral's name for it is "tRNA-Asp". Lineage: Eukaryota; Metazoa; Annelida; Polychaeta; Eunicida; Eunicidae. The record is from RNAcentral.